GGCUUCGUAGCUCAGCUGAUAGAGCUUUUGCCGCGCUGAGGCAUGGUGUUUCCGUCGCUGGUUCGAAUCCAGCCGAAGUCC
RNAcentral lists this transfer RNA (81 nucleotides) under Paragonimus skrjabini miyazakii. Its description in RNAcentral is "Paragonimus miyazakii tRNA". It matches the Rfam family "tRNA". Rfam says of the family: Transfer RNA (tRNA) molecules are approximately 80 nucleotides in length. Their secondary structure includes four short double-helical elements and three loops (D, anti-codon, and T loops). The record is from Rfam by way of RNAcentral. Lineage: Eukaryota; Metazoa; Platyhelminthes; Trematoda; Plagiorchiida; Troglotrematidae.